This 263-nucleotide ribosomal RNA is filed under the name uncultured archaeon. RNAcentral describes it as "partial 16S ribosomal RNA". It matches the Rfam family "Archaeal small subunit ribosomal RNA", at positions 748 to 1009 of the family's 1478-position model. The record is from RNAcentral.
CAGCCGUAAACGAUGCGCGUUAGGUGUAUCGGUGACCACGGAGUCACCGAGGUGCCGAAGGGAAACCGUGAAACGCGCCGCCUGGGAAGUACGGUCGCAAGGCUGAAACUUAAAGGAAUUGGCGGGGGAGCGACCACAACGGGUGGAGCCUGCGGUUUAAUUGGACUCAACGCCGGGAAGCUCACCGGAUAAGACAGCGGAAUGAUUGCCGGGCUGAAGACUCUGCAUGACUAGCUGAGAGGAGGUGCAUGGCGUAGUCGUGU